CAGAGGCUGCUUGAGCAAUGCUGUGGGUCGGUUUGGCGCUGCGUUGCGUGGGCUUUUCCCGUUGGUUGUUUCAAGCGACGAGGAAAGAGGGCGUAGAGCGAAAGACGCAGGAGGAGAAGGGUGGGAGCGAAAGACGUAGCGGCGAAGGCGGGGUCUUUAAUAGGGGACUUAGGGCGGGCGAGCUAAAGGGGGACUUAGGAGGGGCGGCUUGGUUGGGCAACUGGGCUAGAGAGGCACAAAAAAAAGGUUAAGUUAAGUUAAGUUAAGCAGGCGGCGGCUAAGAGGAGACAAGCAGCAGAGACUGCCGCGCCGCCGCCGCCGCCAACCAACUGGAACAGCGGCGAUCCCAAGCCCGAGCCCCUGCUACCGGUCGGUGCCCCGACGUGGCCGGCGACCUAGGCUGAGGUGCGCGCAGCUCCAGUCGCCGUGUCCGGUCUGUUUGGUCGGACGAAUAGGCGGAAAUCAAAGACCCCUAGUAAGUACCAGGAGAUGCUGACCGCGUCGUCGUCGUCCAAGCACCUUGAUAGGUCACCGGUUAGUUUCAGUUCUGCGUCAUAUGAUACUAGGUGUUUCCCUACAUAGCCAAAGUCCUCUAUUAGUUUUACACCGUUCGUCACGCGGAGGACGACAUGUCAGCUGAUACCCGAACUGUUUACGCUCAGUAAGAGUACACGGAAUGAGUUCAAGUGAAGUCGUACCGAUGUUAGGACGUCUUAUACGUUUGAUAAUGAUAUUGAUGGGUGUUCGUUGUUUAUCAACAAGACACGUCGUUCCUCCUCGUUUGGUUGUAAGUCUGACGCGGUCCUAUACGUUGGUGGUUGAUAAUAAUAGUCUGACUGUGAGCAUUGCUACCUUCGAGUCCUUUGUUAAUACGGGUCAGUAUGGUCUUGAUGGGUAGGAGGCUAUGGUUACGUCGGGUUUCAAGGUCAUGUCACGGACGGUUAAGAAAGAGUAUAGUCGUUGUCAUGUUGGUCACCGGUAUAAUAAUGUUAGUGAGACACGGUUGAGGACGACCGUUAGGUCAACGACCCUCGUCGUUGUAUCUAUUAUGUCAGCAAUUGUGGUGAAGACCAAUGAGAAUAGGAUCAUGCCUCGGUGGAGGCGGCCCAUGAUGCGGUACCUUUUCAUUAAGUUCGCGAAGACAACGUGGAGGACAUGUCCGAGGUUCGCAAGGUCUUGGAGUUUUAGUUAUGCAGGUUGUUCGCGUUGAUUGAGGUCCCAAGGUUUUGGUCAUACGGAUAGUCCGUGGUCCACAGGGUUACAGAGUCUUGAUAAUGCGGUUGGUCCGUGGUCGUAUGGGUGUUUUGUUAUACUUACACUUAGUUCAUGGAAACUUGUUGGUACCACUAGUUGUCUUCUCACCAAGAAACUGCUGUCCAUAAAAGUCAUCGCUUUUGUUUUGUGUCUAAGGUUGGUAAGGAGCUUAACGAGGUCCAAAGAGAUACCAUUAAGGUUUCUCACUCUUCUUUUGACAUCCACGACUAAACCGUUUCUUUGGACGGAUACAAUCACAAAGACACGGGUUCUUGCUACAGUUUCGUCAAGUUGUACCAAGUCUGCGAUUUAGGGAGGGAAAAAGCGACGCAUUAAUACGGUGCUCCUUAGAAUCGGCAACGUUCCUACUCCGGGUCUCCCGACGAACGGUUUCAUACUAUGUUGUCUAGUGUUCGUUUCGAUAAUCGUUACCUUGGGAGGAAUGAUUCUUGACCCUGUGACUUGGCGAGUAAGGAAACGGUCUCUUAGAAAACUGGUACUGGCUUUGUUCGUCACGUUCGUUAAGUUCAAGGAACGGUUUGAGAUGGGGAUCUUCUGCAAACUUUUCAUCCACCCUCGGACAAGGCCUCCUUUUCCAAUGACUUUUCCACCUCGGUGAUCGUUUUGGUAACUACUUACCCUUGUGGGUGUUAUUAAAUUUUCGGGUUUUGUCCUACCCACUAUCAACCUUAAAUCCCUUCAGAGAGGUCAGAGGUGUACGUGGAAGUUUGUUUUAGUGGGUGGCCGAAAGUUUCUUCGUUUUCUACCCAUCAAUAAGUUCACACCAUGUUUUACCUCUGUUAAGUUCACUAUCACUGUUCCUCUUCCUAGACUGGUUUAUAAUGCGGUUACGUAGACGUAAUCGUUUAAGUGGUCUCCUUUUCUUUGCGUCCCUCGUGUCUAGAUUCGCAAAACUCUUCUCAUUCCUAAGUAGUAGUUUUAGUUCUUUAAGACGUCACUUAUUUCCACGGCACCGAGUAUAUGUAUGUUCUUCUGGAUAAAGUCGAGAACAAUGACCUUCAAUAUUUCUACCGUCGUCGAACCGACAGCUCCUAUACCUAACCCUACGUGACUGUCAGUUCCCUUGUACAGUCCUUUAACUCUUUGCUAUAGAUGCGGAGUGUAGUCGCGGACUAGGAAGGUGCCAUUCUGGUCUUGUACAGAACCUCUUCCGCGAAAGGUACCAACUUUGUAGAGUUUUCUUAAUAGAAAUGUUCACACUAGUUGACUUUAGAUAAGCGGUUCUAGAAUGCCAAGUCUCCUAGGUCUUACUUGACUGACACUUCCAAAUACUUUGAGUACGCGCAAAUCGUAACGUUCGACCACUAGAUCGACUUAAAUUGGUCACGGUCAGUGUUGACUUCUCCGAUAUAUCUCUCCCUUUGUUACCAACAAUAAAACUUAAGAGACGGAUGUUAAACGAGACGCAGUACGAUGUGAGAUUAUUGUUUGCUCUGGACGACAGUAGUUACCGUUCGAAUAGUUUUCUUCGGUUUGUUCUACCUCGACAGUUCGUACGGGAACGUCAAGUACGACGACAAAGUAGACCGUUAAUACACUAUAAAAAGUUUAAUAUGUUCGUCCCCGGGUUGAACUUGAGAACGGAGUACCUAGAUAUACACCUCUCCUACGCAAAGCUCCGAUAUUUUACAUACAGAUCUAGUAUAGCGGGGUGUCAUGGACACCCCAUACAACGUGUCCAAAACCCUAAGAACGGCUUACCCCUACUGUCUAGCCUUCUUACACUUUAUACCAAUUUUCGUGUACCACGACAAGAAAGUCACCUAUUGCCACCUCUUAACGUCUAUCUGUGUUUCCGAAGAAGAUCAUGCGAAAAGUACGGCCUCGGUCUCUUACGUCAACGUGUACCACUACGCAGUGAACGUCAAUUGCUGAAGAAACGUGCAUGUAGCAUCUUCCACAUGUGAGUAGCCGCACAACCACGUAUACCUCCUACGUAACGUGCACGAGCCUACUCUUAUGCGACAAUACACGCUGCCCUUGUACUUUACCUAGUCGAGUUCUUCGGGUUCUCACGAAGAAACGGAUCUUCCAACCUCGUUCCUAUCUUUCGGUGUGCCCUGAUACCCGUACACGUGAGCUACCGACGUCAACGUGUCGAGGCCACUCGACGGCGCUCCGUUUAAGCCUCAUAACUGGUUGUGAUCGCUGCCGAUGGACGACUGUCGGUGUAAAUAGACAGCCCGGCGAGAGACUCGCUUUACAAUGUCUUUGGAGUAUAAACAAACAUUUUCAAAAUCUCGAUGAUAUUAAAACACAAACAUAGUCCGUUAAAUAUGUGAUCUACAUCCCCUUUUCUAUCUUUGUUCUUAAGCCUUUAAAUAAACAUUUUGUCUGUGUCGGUCAGGAGAAUUAAAUACUUUUGUAGAGAAGGAAAACGG
Molecule: ribosomal RNA, 3656 nt
Filed under: Triticum aestivum (bread wheat)
Lineage: Eukaryota; Viridiplantae; Streptophyta; Magnoliopsida; Poales; Poaceae
Description: partial small subunit ribosomal RNA
Source: RNAcentral